ACGGAGGGUGCAAGCGUUAAUCGGAAUUACUGGGCGUAAAGCGCACGCAGGCGGUCUGUCAAGUCGGAUGUGAAAUCCCCGGGCUCAACCUGGGAACUGCAUUCGAAACUGGCAGGCUAGAGUCUUGUAGAGGGGGGUAGAAUUCCAGGUGUAGCGGUGAAAUGCGUAGAGAUCUGGAGGAAUACCGGUGGCGAAGGCGGCCCCCUGGACAAAGACUGACGCUCAGGUGCGAAAGCGUGGGGAGCAAACAGGA
This 253-nucleotide ribosomal RNA is filed under the name uncultured prokaryote. RNAcentral describes it as "partial 16S ribosomal RNA". It matches the Rfam family "Bacterial small subunit ribosomal RNA", at positions 525 to 777 of the family's 1533-position model. The record is from RNAcentral.